GUCAGCAGCCGCGGUAACACCGGCGGCCCGAGUGGUGAUCGUGAUUAUUGGGUCUAAAGGGUCCGUAGCCGGUUUGGUCAGUCCUCCGGGAAAUCUGAUAGCUCAACUAUUAGGCUUUCGGGGGAUACUGCCAGACUUGGAACCGGGAGAGGUAAGAGGUACUACAGGGGUAGGAGUGAAAUCUUGUAAUCCCUGUGGGACCACCUGUGGCGAAGGCGUCUUACCAGAACGGGUUCGACGGUGAGGGACGAAAGCUGGGGGCACGAACCGGAUUAGAUACCCGGGUAGUCCCAGCCGUAAACGAUGCUCGCUAGGUGUCAGGCAUGGCGCGACCGUGUCUGGUGCCGCAGGGAAGCCGUGAAGCGAGCCACCUGGGAAGUACGGCCGCAAGGCUGAAACUUAAAGGGAUUGGCGGGGGAGCACAACAACGGGUGGAAGCCUGCGGUUUAAUUGGACUCAACGCCGGACAACUCACCGGGGGCGACAGCAAUAUGUAGGCCAAGCUGAAGACUUUGCCUGAAUCGCUGAGAAGAGGUGCAUGG
RNAcentral lists this ribosomal RNA (542 nucleotides) under uncultured archaeon. RNAcentral's name for it is "bacterial SSU rRNA". It matches the Rfam family "Archaeal small subunit ribosomal RNA", at positions 457 to 997 of the family's 1478-position model. The record is from RNAcentral.